AGCGAACGCUGGCGGCAGGCCUAACACAUGCAAGUCGAACGAACUCUUCGGAGUUAGUGGCGGACGGGUGAGUAACACGUGGGAACGUGCCUUUUGGUUCGGAAUAACUCAGGGAAACUUGUGCUAAUACCGAAUGUGCCCUUCGGGGGAAAGAUUUAUCGCCAUUAGAGCGGCCCGCGUCUGAUUAGCUAGUUGGUGAGGUAACGGCUCACCAAGGCGACGAUCAGUAGCUGGUCUGAGAGGAUGACCAGCCACACUGGGACUGAGACACGGCCCAGACUCCUACGGGAGGCAGCAGUGGGGAAUCUUGCGCAAUGGGCGAAAGCCUGACGCAGCCAUGCCGCGUGAAUGAUGAAGGUCUUAGGAUUGUAAAAUUCUUUCACCGGGGACGAUAAUGACGGUACACGGAGAAGAAGCCCCGGCUAACUUCGUG
Molecule: ribosomal RNA, 433 nt
Filed under: uncultured bacterium
Lineage: Bacteria
Description: partial 16S ribosomal RNA
Rfam family: Bacterial small subunit ribosomal RNA
Source: RNAcentral